Molecule: non-coding RNA, 50 nt
Organism: Trichobilharzia regenti
Lineage: Eukaryota; Metazoa; Platyhelminthes; Trematoda; Strigeidida; Schistosomatidae
Source: Rfam
GUACUGCUGAAGAGUCCCAAACUAGGUAGGACUAAACAGCUGUCCAGUAC